This 68-nucleotide transfer RNA is filed under the name Penicillium salamii. Its description in RNAcentral is "tRNA-Glu". It matches the Rfam family "tRNA". Rfam says of the family: Transfer RNA (tRNA) molecules are approximately 80 nucleotides in length. Their secondary structure includes four short double-helical elements and three loops (D, anti-codon, and T loops). Lineage: Eukaryota; Fungi; Ascomycota; Eurotiomycetes; Eurotiales; Aspergillaceae. The record is from RNAcentral.
UCCGAUAUGGUGUAGUGGCUAACAUCGUCGUCUCUCACACGACAGCCGGGGGUUCGAUUCCCCCUAUC